ACGGAAGGCAGCAGUGGGGAAUAUUGCACAAUGGGGGAAACCCUGAUGCAGCAACGCCGCGUGAGUGAUGACGGUCUUCGGAUUGUAAAACUCUGUCUUUAGGGACGAUAAUGACGGUACCUAAGGAGGAAGCCACGGCUAACUACGUGCCAGCAGCCGCGGUAAUACGUAGGUGGCAAGCGUUGUCCGGAUUUACUGGGCGUAAAGGGAGCGUAGGUGGAUAUUUAAGUGGGAUGUGAAAUACCCGGGCUUGACCUGGGUGCUGCAUUCCAAACUGGAUAUCUAGAGUGCAGGAGAGGAAAGGAGAAUUCCUAGUGUAGCGGUGAAAUGCGUAGAGAUUAGGAAGAAUACCAGUGGCGAAGGCGCCUUUCUGGACUGUAACUGACACUGAGGCUCGAAAGCGUGGGGAGCAAACAGGAUUAGAUACCCUGGUA
This 434-nucleotide ribosomal RNA is filed under the name uncultured Clostridium sp. RNAcentral's name for it is "partial 16S ribosomal RNA". It matches the Rfam family "Bacterial small subunit ribosomal RNA", at positions 341 to 792 of the family's 1533-position model. Lineage: Bacteria; Bacillati; Bacillota; Clostridia; Eubacteriales; Clostridiaceae. The record is from RNAcentral.